RNAcentral lists this ribosomal RNA (253 nucleotides) under uncultured bacterium. RNAcentral's name for it is "partial 16S ribosomal RNA". It matches the Rfam family "Bacterial small subunit ribosomal RNA", at positions 524 to 776 of the family's 1533-position model. The record is from RNAcentral.
GACAGAGGUGCCAAGCGUUAGGCGGAAUCACUGGGCUUAAAGCGUGUGUAGGCGGAUCGUUAAGUGUCUUGUGAAAUCCCACGGCUCACCCGUGGAACUGCUGGGCAUACUGGCGAUCUUGGGCCAACUAGGGGCAGCCGGAACAAGCGGUGGAGCGGUGAAAUGCGUAGAUAUCGCUUGGAACGCCGAAGGUGAAAACAGGCUGCUGGGGUUGUGCCGACGCUGAGACACGAAAGCCAGGGGAGCAAACGGG